This is a long non-coding RNA of Salvelinus sp. IW2-2015, 556 nucleotides long. RefSeq lists it as uncharacterized. The record is from RefSeq and is a predicted model, not a curated record. Lineage: Eukaryota; Metazoa; Chordata; Actinopteri; Salmoniformes; Salmonidae.
AGGCUACCUGCUGCCCUACAGGAACCUUCCAGGAAGCGUCAGUCAUCCAAUGGGCCUACAACCUCAACAACCCUCUGAGGCUAACCGACCYCGCCCCCGGCUCCCAUACUGCAGCCUGGAGCGCCUUCUCUGUCAGCGCUGCAGCCGUCAUCCUGGAGACCAUCAAACAGGCGGAGGACAGGAAGGAGGCUCUGGUGGUACGGCUCUAUGAGUCACAUGGCAGCAGUGUCACUGCGUACCUCACUACAGGCUUCCCCAUCGCCGAGGCUUGGCACUGUGAUCUACUGGAGCGAGUGGAUCCRUCUCGCCCUGCACCAAUCACAGCCUCCGGAAUCUCUGUCAGCUUCAGUCCCUUCCAGAUUGUGUCCAUUCUACUGUACCUGAAGUAAAAUGAUUUGGAUGCUGGUCUGAACGUAAUUUUGUCCCUGUAAAUUACGUUCGGCUUCAUAAUGCCUUCAUAAGCACUGCAUAAAUGUGUUACAUAGCAUCUAUAACGGUUUCAUUAAUGUGUCAUCGCCCACUGUGGAAUAUGAUAAAAACGUGCUUUAUAAAGGGU